GGGGAGCGUCGUAUGGCCAGGGAAGCGGCGGAGUGAUCCAGCCGUGGAGGCCAUGCGAGUGAGAAUGCAGGCAUGAGUAGCGAAAGACGAGUGAGAAACUCGUCCGCCGAAUGACCAAGGGUUCCUGGGCCAGGUUAAUCCGCCCAGGGUGAGUCGGGACCUAAGGCGAGGCCGACAGGCGUAGUCGAUGGACAACGGGUUGAUAUUCCCGUACCCGUGUAUCCGCGCCAAAUAUCGAAUCAGUUGUGCUAAGUGCCCAAAAGCGGAUGGACCUCCUUCGGGAGGACGGAAGUGGCUGCGCACGACCCUGGCUGUAGUAGGUAAGCGAUGGGGUGACGCAGGAAGGUAGCUGGGCCAGGUGAUGGAAUACCUGGUGUAAGCCUGUAGGGCGUUGUGUAGGCAAAUCCGCACAGCAUAUGGCCUGAGAGGUGAUGCGUAGCCGAUUGAGGCGAAUUCAGUGAUCCUAUGCUGCCGAGAAAAGCCUCUAGUGAGUUGGUACACGGCCCGUACCCCAAACCGACACAGGUGGUCAGGUAGAGAAUACUAAGGCGAUCGAGAUAACUGUGGUUAAGGAACUCGGCAAAAUACCUCCGUAACUUCGGGAGAAGGAGGGCCCGGUCUGGUGAACGCCCUUGCGGUGGGAGCUGGGUUGGGUCGCAGAGACCAGUGAGAAGCGACUGUUUACUAAAAACACAGGUCCGUGCGAAGUCGUAAGACGAUGUAUACGGACUGACGCCUGCCCGGUGCCGGAAGGUUAAGAGGACCGGUUAGCGCCCUUGGGUGCGAAGCUGAGAAUUUAAGCCCCGGUAAACGGCGGUGGUAACUAUAACCAUCCUAAGGUAGCGAAAUUCCUUGUCGGGUAAGUUCCGACCUGCACGAAUGGCGUAACGACUUCUCAGCUGUCUCAACCACAGACUCGGCGAAAUUGCAGUACGAGUAAAGAUGCUCGUUACGCGCGGCAGGACGAAAAGACCCCGGGACCUUCACUAUAGCUUGGUAUUGGUGUUCGGUACGGUUUGUGUAGGAUAGGUGGGAGACUGUGAAGCGGGUACGCCAGUAUUCGUGGAGUCGUCGUUGAAAUACCACUCUGAUCGUAUUGGACCUCUAACCUCGGACCCUGAUCGGGUUCAGGGACAGUGCCUGGUGGGUAGUUUAACUGGGGCGGUUGCCUCCCAAAAUGUAACGGAGGCGCCCAAAGGUUCCCUCAGCCUGGUUGGCAAUCAGGUGUCGAGUGCAAGUGCACAAGGGAGCUUGACUGUGAGACCGACAGGUCGAGCAGGGACGAAAGUCGGGACUAGUGAUCCGGCACCGGCAAGUGGAAGCGGUGUCGCUCAACGGAUAAAAGGUACCCCGGGGAUAACAGGCUGAUCUUCCCCAAGAGUCCAUAUCGACGGGAUGGUUUGGCACCUCGAUGUCGGCUCGUCGCAUCCUGGGGCUGGAGUAGGUCCCAAGGGUUGGGCUGUUCGCCCAUUAAAGCGGCACGCGAGCUGGGUUUAGAACGUCGUGAGACAGUUCGGUCUCUAUCCGCCGCGCGCGUUAGAAACUUGAGGAAGGCUGUCCCUAGUACGAGAGGACCGGGACGGACGAACCUCUGGUGUGCCAGUUGUUCCGCCAGGAGCACGGCUGGUUGGCCACGUUCGGAAGGGAUAACCGCUGAAAGCAUCUAAGCGGGAAGCCUGUUCCAAGAUGAGGUUUCUCACCCCCUCGAGGGGGUAAGGCCCCCAACAGACCAUUGGGUUGAUAGGCCAGAACUGGAAGUCUGGUAACAGAUGUAGGUGACUGGUACUAAUAGGCCGAGGACUUACCAACAA
Molecule: ribosomal RNA, 1811 nt
Filed under: Nocardia seriolae
Lineage: Bacteria; Bacillati; Actinomycetota; Actinomycetes; Mycobacteriales; Nocardiaceae
Description: bacterial LSU rRNA
Rfam family: Bacterial large subunit ribosomal RNA
Source: RNAcentral